Molecule: non-coding RNA, 140 nt
Organism: Pelobates cultripes (western spadefoot toad)
Lineage: Eukaryota; Metazoa; Chordata; Amphibia; Anura; Pelobatidae
Source: the annotation of a GenBank genome assembly
UUUGCGAUGAUGAUUUGGCGCAGGGGUACGGACCUCGGCUAGAUAAUGGGAGCCGAAUGCAAAGCUAUAGCUUUCAGGAUGGCUGACGUGUGGUUGGCUGCCUGAAACUGGCCUGCAUGAUAGUCGCCUGUCUGAGCUAA